GACGAACGCUGGCGGCGUGCUUAACACAUGCAAGUCGAACGGUAAGGCCCUUCGGGGUACACGAGUGGCGAACGGGUGAGUAACACGUGGGUGAUCUGCCCUGCACUUCGGGAUAAGCCUGGGAAACUGGGUCUAAUACCGGAUAGGCCCACUGCCUGCAUGGGGGGAGGUGGAAAGCUUUUGCGGUGUGGGAUGGGCCCGCGGCCUCUCAGCUUGUUGGUGGGGUGAUGGCCUACCAAGGCGACGACGGGUAGCCGGCCUGAGAGGGUGACCGGCCACACUGGGACUGAGACACGGCCCAGACUCCUGCGGGAGGCAGCAGUGGGGAAUAUUGCGCAAUGGGCGAAAGCCUGACGCAGCAACGCCGCGUGCGGGAUGACGGCCUCCGGGUUGUAAACCGCUUUCAGCAGGGAAGAAGCCGCAAGGUGACGGUACCUGCAGAAGAAGCACCGGCUAACUACGUGCCAGCCGCCGCCGUAA
Molecule: ribosomal RNA, 480 nt
Filed under: uncultured bacterium
Lineage: Bacteria
Description: partial 16S ribosomal RNA
Rfam family: Bacterial small subunit ribosomal RNA
Source: RNAcentral